RNAcentral lists this transfer RNA (69 nucleotides) under Epinephelus fasciatus (blacktip grouper). RNAcentral describes it as "tRNA-Pro". It matches the Rfam family "tRNA". From Rfam's summary of the family: Transfer RNA (tRNA) molecules are approximately 80 nucleotides in length. Their secondary structure includes four short double-helical elements and three loops (D, anti-codon, and T loops). Further hydrogen bonds mediate the characteristic L-shaped molecular structure. tRNAs have two regions of fundamental functional importance: the anti-codon, which is responsible for specific mRNA codon recognition, and the 3' end, to which the tRNAs corresponding amino acid is attached (by aminoacyl-tRNA synthetases). tRNAs cope with the degeneracy of the genetic code in two manners: having more than one tRNA (with a specific anti-codon) for a particular amino acid; and 'wobble' base-pairing, i.e. permitting non-standard base-pairing at the 3rd anti-codon position. Lineage: Eukaryota; Metazoa; Chordata; Actinopteri; Perciformes; Serranidae. The record is from RNAcentral.
CAAAAAGUAGUUUAAUUUAGAAUUCUAGCUUUGGGAGUUAGAGGCAGGAGUUAAAAUCUCUUCUUUUUG